This 421-nucleotide ribosomal RNA is filed under the name uncultured bacterium. RNAcentral describes it as "bacterial SSU rRNA". It matches the Rfam family "Bacterial small subunit ribosomal RNA", at positions 356 to 774 of the family's 1533-position model. The record is from RNAcentral.
AAGGAAUAUUGGACAAUGGACGCAAGUCUGAUCCAGCCAUGCCGCGUGAAGGAUGAAUGCCCUCUGGGUUGUAAACUUCUUUUAUAGGGGAAGAAAGAUACUUUUUUUAAGGUAGUUGACGGUACCCUAUGAAUAAGCACCGGCUAACUCCGUGCCAGCAGCCGCGGUAAUACGGAGGGUGCAAGCGUUAUCCGGAUUUACUGGGUUUAAAGGGUGCGUAGGCGGGCAUGUAAGUCAGUGGUGAAAUACCGGAGCUUAACUUCGGAACUGCCAUUGAUACUAUAUGUCUUGAAUAUUGUGGAGGUAAGCGGAAUAUGUCAUGUAGCGGUGAAAUGCAUAGAUAUGACAUAGAACACCGAUUGCGGAGGCAGCUUGCUACGCAAAUAUUGACGCUGAGGCACGAAAGCGUGGGGAUCAAACA